Molecule: ribosomal RNA, 404 nt
Filed under: Cirrhinus mrigala (mrigala)
Lineage: Eukaryota; Metazoa; Chordata; Actinopteri; Cypriniformes; Cyprinidae
Description: partial 16S ribosomal RNA
Rfam family: Bacterial large subunit ribosomal RNA
Source: RNAcentral
UAAACGAGGGCUUAACUGUCUCCCCUUUCCAGUCAGUGAAAUUGAUCUACCCGUGCAGAAGCGGGUAUAAUAAUACAAGACGAGAAGACCCUUUGGAGCUUAAGGUACAAAACUCAACCACGUCAAGCAACUCAAUAAAAAGCAAAAACUUUGUGAAACAUGAGAUUUUACCUUCGGUUGGGGCGACCACGGAGGAAAACAAAGCCUCCAAGUGGACUGGGAAAACCUCCUAAAACCAAGAGAGACAUCUCUAAGCCACAGAACAUCUGACCAAACAUGAUCCGGCCACCCAAAGCCGAUCAACGAACCAAGUUACCCUAGGGAUAACAGCGCAAUCCUCUCCCAGAGUCCAUAUCGACGAGAGGGUUUACGACCUCGAUGUUGGAUCAGGACAUCCUAAUGGU